CAGGAACACAAGGAAGUUGAUCACAGGAGGCGUGAGGGAAUUUCUAGGGAAAAGAAAACAAACGUCAACACGCCACACUCUGGAGAUUUGAAGUACUGAAGCUUCAGGACUCAGUAUUCAGUUCCCACCGGAGAACUGGCUGUAUCACAUUGCAGUGACUCAUCCAGUGUCUGCCUUCCGCCUAUGGUCUGGUCUUCUUGAGGGCAGGGAAAAACCUCUUCUUAACCAUCUCUGCAGGCUCAUAAAGUCUUGGGAGAAUUAUACUGACUCGAUCAUUGUGGGUUGAUGAACUCAGCAAGUAUUUGAGAAGGUUGAUAUUCAAAAUAUCUAACAGGAAAAUAUGAUACAAAAUAAUUCUUCUAUGAAAUUCUAUUUCUGUGAACAGCAAUGAGUCUUCAUACUGGUAACUUGUAAGAUAUAUCAACUUCUGCUUUUCCUGCCACUGAUUUUGGCCUCAAAUCCUUUUCUGUGGCCUCAGUUGCCUUUCUAUAGGAAGAAAAGACAGUAUAGGUACAUUAUGUCAUCAUGGUGUUUUGUUUACUCAAACCUAAUUCCAUGGAGUCUUUGCCCUCAGGCUAGACACUUCGACAAGCCAGCUACCAGCUGUGACUAAAUCUAGCCAUUCCUCUUGACCUUUCUCAUUAGAGGCCAAGAGCAGAAAAGAACGUUCUCUCUCCCACAUCCAAGGAUCACUUUAUUUUAUGCCCAGGGUGAUUGACAUAUCAUUCAGGAGAAACCAUAAUGGAUACAUUACCAAUUUUAAUUAAUUCACUAGGCAUAUAAAUAAGUGAGUUCAAGGUCUUAUACCUUUGAAACAUUUUUCAACAAAUAAUUUUAAAAAUUAUUAAAAAUUUUUUCGAAGGGCCCUAUGUCUCAACUUUUAGUUCAUACAAUAUGAUAUUUUUAAUUCAGGCCAUUCACAAGUAUUGUUAUUAUUUUAUUUGCUGUAUGCUUAUUUAUUUCUGUGCCCACCCUCAAUCAAAUGUGAACUUCAUGAGGCCAGAGACCUAUCAGAGACCUCCUGACCUACGCAGUAGACCCGUCCUCUAUUGUAUACUCAAGCCUAGCACAGUGCCAGACACCUAAAAUGUGCUCAACAUCUGUCAAGUGUACAGAAUUACCUCCAGUCUUUAUAACAAUCUUAAAAGUUGGGUAGUAUUAUCUUUUGUUUUCAGAGGGGACAAUCGAGCUUCAGAGAAAGGACAUCUCUAAGGUAGUGAAACUGAGAUAUUAUUUUAAAUCUUGCAUUGUUUUCUUAUCCUGGUGUACAUGGUUAAUAAUGUUGCAUCACUCUCACCAUCAAAGCUUGGUGAAUAAUCAGUGAUUGCAAUUUUCUCUAUCUCUGGUUGGUUUUUCCACAGUGAUUAGCCAUACAACCUUUUAGGAAAAAAAGCAUGCUUACUUCUCUAGGGUGCAAGUCUUCAGGGAUCAGAGAGGAAAUCUCAAGCAACAGGUAGAUGGUGGAAGAUAUGAACAAGAAAAAUUAAAAUAAGAAAUAUUGGAAGAAAAAAUAGGACACCAUCAGAAUAUGUAGGAUAAAUGACUAUGGAUACCUCACUAGCAGAAAGAUAUGCAAUUCCCUGACAUUUAUAGCUAAUUUCCCUUGAUUUUUAGGAGAGUCUCUAGAAAGAGAUUCUGGGUAUACAUUCUCAUAGUGUUUUAGUCACAGACAAGAACGAUCUUUAAGAAGAGGAUGUUAUGUAUUAGACCACAUUCCAAAUGGAGGUCUGUUAGGAAAACAAAAUUAGGAGACACGUCUUCCAUUCAAAUUUAUCAAGACUAUUGGUACAGCUCUGCCUUGAUCACUGGAACUCUACACUGAAAGCAGGAGCUUUUUCCAGUGUGCCCUCUGGAAUAUAUACUGUUUGUUAUAUGAUUUUAGAGGCACCCUUUUUGAUGCUUCAAUUUUUACAGCAGCAAAAGCAAGCCUAGAUAUAAAGAAAUCUGCUGAAUAUGAAUAAACCUUGCUAUAGACAUUAGGUCUAUGCCUAUUAAGAUCCUAAAACUUCAACAAAUUGAAAGCAGAUUGUCUAUGAACCAAGUAAUAUGAUGAUGCCAAAGUGUGGAAUUUUCUGAAAAAAAAAAAAUAGACCAGCUUUUUCUUGUAACUGCUUAAUUUCAAGCCAAAAUGCAGAUGAUAUAGAUAGGUUGGCACAUUUGCUCAAAAUGUUAAAGAAAUUUUGGUAUGUCUGGCUGAAAGCUGACUACAUCACCAUUCAGCCGUUCUCCUGAAAGACACUUAGGUUUUAUGGUCUUUUGGGUCUAAAAUUAUUUGAUCUUGUGAUUUGGGUUCAUAUACUUAGUGGAAAAGCUUUCACUGAGUUCAAAAAGGAAAUCAAAUCUGGUCGAUGCCAAAAGAAAAUGCAAGGUGAUGACUAAUGACACUUCCAUUCUCCUUUUCUCUGCUCUGGCCAAGAACAUCAACUCCUGAUUUCAUCAUGGAUGGUGUAGCCAGGAAGGUUGGAUUUGAAUGCUUGUCCUCAUGGAAGUGAGAUAAAAAAAAUAUGGAUAUCCUUGACUACAUGGACGACUUAAACACACGAUGGGAAUACAUUCAUACCCACCCAUCAUCUCCCUGGCAAGAUGAGUUCUCCAGAGUUGCGUUGGAUCGGAAGGCAACUUAGACAUAAACAGUGAAAGGAGUAAUUCCAAGGGCCUGCACACUUAAAAUAAAAUUCAUCUUUGUGGAUGUGA
Molecule: long non-coding RNA, 2694 nt
Filed under: Equus caballus (horse)
Lineage: Eukaryota; Metazoa; Chordata; Mammalia; Perissodactyla; Equidae
Description: lncRNA (ENSECAG00000032420.3)
Source: RNAcentral